GAAGUAAUACCAUGUACCGGCUAGUAACUGUGUAGUUUGGUUUUAUUUUAUUAUAAUUGUAACCGGUAAGAUGUAGCGUUAACUUCUGGUGGUCCUUUUUUUUAUUAAAUGUAUAUGUCUCUUAAUGUAAAAUUUUAUUUUCCACAUUCUUUCCUCCUUUAGCCUCAUAAGUUUUCUUUUUUUUAUCCAAUUAUUUAACAGGGUUUCUGUAACCUAUCAGAUCUAGGGAUUUGUUCUUGUUGUUUAAAACCUAAAAAUCAAGACUGUCGCACAAACUAAACUCCCUAGAAACAGCCUCUGUAAAGCGGUUAGUCUUGCUGGGAUAUUUUUGACAUAACAAGAUGGCGCCCAAAUCUUUAAAAGUUUUCUGGUUAGUUGUCAGUGGUCAUGCUUUCUUAUCUUGGGGUUGUCCAGCGGAUUGGUCCUUGGCUGUCAGGAAUUACUUAGACGACUGUUUUCCGGACGGUUGGAUCGGUAGAGGCGGAACCUUUCCUUGGCCUCCUCGAUCGCCUGACCAAACUCCGUUGGAUUUUUUCAUAUGGGGCCGGGCAAAGGAGCUUAUAUACACCACCGAAAUAAGAACCAGAGAAGAGUUGAUUCGCAAAAUAAAUGAAGCAUUUGACAGGAUGAAAGAAGAUAUGGCCAUAAGAUUAACCACCACCGAAGUAACAAAAAGGGCUCGUGCCUGUAUAAGAAAUAAUGGAUUGCAUUUUGAACAUGAACAAUAAAUAAUUUAAACAAAA
This is a long non-coding RNA of Anthonomus grandis grandis, 743 nucleotides long. RefSeq lists it as uncharacterized. The transcript is spliced from 3 exons. NCBI's taxonomy places the organism in Eukaryota, Metazoa, Arthropoda, Insecta, Coleoptera, Curculionidae. The record is from RefSeq and is a predicted model, not a curated record.